RNAcentral lists this ribosomal RNA (301 nucleotides) under uncultured bacterium. Its description in RNAcentral is "partial 16S ribosomal RNA". It matches the Rfam family "Bacterial small subunit ribosomal RNA", at positions 509 to 807 of the family's 1533-position model. The record is from RNAcentral.
CAGUAGCCGCGGUAAUACGAAGGGGGCUAGCGUUGCUCGGAAUGACUGGGCGUAAAGGGCGCGUAGGCGGCGGCCAAAGUCAGGCGUGAAAUUCCUGGGCUCAACCUGGGGACUGCAUUUGAUACGUACGGGCUUGAGUGGAGAAGAGGGUUGUGGAAUUUCCAGUGUAGAGGUGAAAUUCGUAGAUAUUGGAAAGAGCACCGGUGGCGAAGGCGGCAACCUGGUCUUUAACUGACGCUGAGGCGCGAAAGCGUGGGGAGCAAACAGGAUUAGAUACCCCCGUAGUCCCUGUCUCUUAUAC